GCUUUGCUGCUACGUGCUACGCCCACAGCCGGAGGGAGACUCUCUCACAAACACACACACACACGUACACAGUGCGGCAGGAGGACACACUCUUUGAAACAGUUUUCUUUUAUUCAUAAACGGAUUUUGUGUCCUAAUACUCACCAGAACUGCUUCUGACUUUCUGCUUCUCUGGUUUUGAAAUUCAUCCUCACUGAACCUGGAUCAGCUUACCUCCUCACCUCAUUCAUUCGAUCAUUGGACUGUCUAAGCCAGACUCCGGAGCAGCACUGAAUCCAAGCAGAUAGAGGACCACAUCACAUGGGAGUGUGUGACGGUGUGUGUGAGGGUGUGUGUUCUGGCCUCCUGCCGUCGCCCGCUCUUUCCCGACAGGCAUGGCGGGAGGCAGAGAGCGCGGGUCCCGGAUACAGAGGCCAUGGUCAGUUUACCGGGCCAACACGUUCGAGCUGUCCAGUGAGAUGAUCGGCCUUGCACUCGCAGGAAAUAGUCAGGACCCAGAUGAGCCUGUGCUGGAGUUCAGUGUCGCCUGCACAGACCUGCUGACUCCUGCUUUGGAUCGAAAACCCAACAGCUUUGUAGCAGUGAGCUGCACGACACCACCACAGGCCUUCUGGACCAAACAUGCCCAGACUGAAGUCAUAGAGGGCACCAGUAACCCCAUCUUCCUCAGCAGCAUCGUCUUCUUCCAGGAGUCCAACAUCAACCAGCAGACGCAGGUCAAACUAGCCGUGUACGAUGUCAAGGACCGCUCCCAGGGCACGAUGUACAUGUUGGGCUCAGCAUUAUUUCCUGUGAAGGAGUUGUUGCAAGAGAGGAGCCACAGAUUACAGCUCGAACUUAGAUCAGCAGAGAACCAGCGGGUGGGGAAUGUCACAAUAGCAGCCUGGCAGAUGGAGGAGAGAGCAGAUCAGAGGAUGUCAGUCGGCCGGCUGCCGGACAGCAUUAAUGGCCGGACGGUUCUGCCUGUUGAUGAGAGCCUUGCAGAGUCAAUGGGAGUCCGAAUCAAGUACGCCUCGCUAUGCAAAGACACCCUGCUGCGCUCAGUGUUUGGAGGCACGAUGUCCAGGAUGUACCGCUUCCCCACAACAGAUGGAAACCACCUACGGGUGCUGGAGCAAAUGGCCGAGAGCGUCCUCUCAUUAAACAUCCCUAGACAGUUUGUCAAACUGCUGCUGGAGGAGGACGCAGCCAGGGUGUGUGAGUUGGAGGAGCUGGGAGAGUUAUCACCCUGCUGGGAAAAUCUUAGGCGACAGAUUGUGUCACAGUACCAGACCAUAAUCCUCACAUACCAGGAAACACUGUCCGACCUCAACAACUACAGAGGUCCAUCAUUCAAAGCCAGUAAUCUGAAGGCAGAGAGGAAACUUGAGUUCAUUUCAACCAACCUACAUGUUCAAAGGAUGAGGGUGCAAGAUGAGCUGGGCUUUGAGCACACAUAUGAUGUGAUAACAAUUGGAGCUCCAGCGGCUCACUGCCAAGGUUUUAAAAGUGGCGGUUUGAGGAAACUCGUGCAGAAGUUUGAAGAGGCAAAGAAACACAGUGCUCUCUCCAGCUCACAGUCCAUCGUCUACAUACCCCAGGACAUCGUCAGGGCCAAAGAGAUAAUCGCCCACAUCAACACACUGAAGACCCAGGUCAGUUAUUACGCAGAGAGGCUUUCCCGAGCUGCAAAGGAUCGAUCUGCCAGUGGACUGGAGAGGACACUCGCUAUUCUAGCUGAUAAGACUCGUCAGUUGGUGACGGUAUGUGACUGUAAGCUGCUGGCUUCAGCCAUUCAGGCCCUGAAUGCAGCAAGGCCUGAGUACAUUGCCUCCAAAGCGUCUCCCUCCGCUGACUCAGAACAAGUCGUCCUCCGUAACGAUCAAGACACACUGCUGGCUAAGUGGAGUGGUAGCAACAGCCGAUCCUCGCUGCAAGUAGACUGGCAUGAGGAGGAGUGGGAGAAGGUUUGGGUGAAUGUGGACAAGUCUCUUGAGUGCAUUAUCCAGCGUGUGGACAAGCUGCUGCAGAAAGAGAGGAGGCCAAGUGUUUGCAGUCAGGACAGUGGACAGGCUGACCUGCAGGCUGGUGCUAGUAAGAAAGAUGGAAGCCCGAUAGCUGAAGAGGCAUACCCAGGCGAGUGGAGUGAGGCGUUGUACCCCCUCCUCACCACUCUCACAGAGUGCGUCGCCAUGAUGAGCGACACAGCUAAAAAGUCCAUGGUCUUCCUGCUGAUGCAGGACAGCGCCCCGACGAUAGCCAUGGACCUGUCGCUGCAGUACCGCCGUGAUGUUGUUUUCUGCCAGACGCUCACUGCUCUCAUCUGUGGCUUCAUUAUCAAACUGAGAAACUGUCUCCGAGACAACGGAUUCCUCAGACAGCUCUACACCAUCGGCCUGCUGGCUCAGUUUGAGUCCCUGCUCAGCACCUAUGGAGAGGAGCUGGCCAUGUUGGAGGACAUGAGUGUGGGCAUCAUGGAUCUUCGUAAUGUCACCUUUAAGGUGACCCAGGCCACCGGUAGCUCCGCCCCCGACAUGCUGCCUAUCAUCACAGGGAACAGAGAUGGCUUCAAUGUUAGAAUCCCGCUGCCUGGAACCAUGUUCGACGCGUUACCUCGGGAGAUCCAAAGCGGUAUGCUGCUCAGAGUGCAGCCGGUGCACUUCAACGUCGGCAUCAAUGAGCAGCAGACGCUCGCUGAGAAGUUUGGGGACACAUCCCUGCAGGAGAUCAUUAACUUAGAGAGUCUCUCCAGGUUAAAUUCAUACUAUGAGCAGUUCAAAGAAGUCCUUCCAGAGGACUGCCUCCCAAGGUCCCGUUCUCAAACCUGCCUCCCUGAGCUGCUGAGGUUUCUGGGGCAGAACGUCCAUGCCAGGAAAAACAAGAACGUGGACAUCCUCUGGCAGGCAGCCGAGAUCUGCCGCCGGCUAAAUGGGGUUCGGUUCACGAGCUGCAAAAGCGCCAAAGAUCGCACGGCCAUGUCGGUAACUCUGGAGCAGUGCCUGAUCCUGCAGCACGAGCACGGCAUGGCGCCACAGGUCUUCACCCAGGCCCUGGACUGUAUGCGCAGCGAGGGCUGCAGACGAGAAAACACUGUGAAGAACGUCGGCUGCCGAAAAUAUGCCUUUAACUCACUCCAACUCAAAGCCUUCCCCAAACACUACCGACCACCUGACGGUACCUUCGGGAAAGUGGAAACCUGAUCGGACCACAGACAGCUGAACAGAGACAGGGGAGUGGAGAGCAGGGGACGACAUGCAGGAAAUGGUUGACCAACCAGGAAUCGAACCAGCGAACCCUGUGACAAGGACUGUAGCUUCUUAUCAUAGGGUGCUUAGACCACUAGGCCAUCAGCACCUCUUAUAGUUUGACCAAUGUUCCAUCUAGUUUAAUUGAUGAGGUGGGGUUUAGGACCGAUACUGCAGCCUGUCACUAGGGGGAGCUCAAAAAAGUAUGGCUCCAUGGCAGACAGCUGUUCUUCUGUCCAUUUUAAUACAGUCAUUGAUACAGACAGACACUCUCUAUUCUGUGAGCAGCACAACAUGACUGUUGUCGUCUGCAGGAAGAGCGUGAGCACAUUUACUGAUGAAGUAUCACAGAAUACAGGAGAGAUAGAGCAGGAUAUAAACGGAUCCAUUACUCAAGUGGAGGGUGGUAAAACUUGUGAUUCUCUUGUGACUUGUUUUGGAUAAAUAUUAUAUAAACUGUCAGAUGAAUUCCCUGGCAAGAAUUAAACAUACCAAGAAAACACAGAGAGUGGAUUUCCUGUAUAAAACCACACAGACAAACUUAUGUAAUUCAGUUUCAUGUACAUAAUCAAACUGUAAAACAAACAAACAACACAUUUCAAAGUUAAACUGUCUCAGAAACAAAAGGAGAUUGUGGUGAAGAGGAUUCAAACAUGCCUAGAGACAUGUGAAACAAAUGAAUUAGGAUGUUUAUGUCUGCAUCUGCACCAACAUUUGUUUUUCACAUUAACAUUGGCAUGAGGAGAAAGACUCUUAUUGUUUUUCUUAUAUCUUUAUAUCAAGUGGAGAUAAUUGAAUCCAGCAUAUGCACAGAUUGCUUUGAUGAUUUGGAUGAGUAACUCAGUUUGUGUUACACAAGAGGAAUUAUUUAAUCUGUUAUAUCUUUUCAGGGAAAAUGAGGUUGACUCAGGAUAUUGGACUUAGGGUUUGUUAUUACAUCAAGACGUACGUGUUGGAAGACUUAUUUAUACGUAUUACGUUUAUCUGUUUGUUCAACCAACACGCCAUGAUGCACGUAGCCUUAAAACCCCAUUACCCAGAAAUAGAAGAUUGGAAUACAUUUAUAUGACCUUUUUUUGUUUUAAUUACAUGAAUUCAGAUUUAGUUUCAGGAAAUUCACAAGACAGGAAGGAUUGAAAUAUGACCCGAGGCACUGCAAAACACACUGAAUCAUUGUUCUUGUUUUGUUACACAGACUUCACUCCCAAAGAAACAAGAAUUAGUGCAAAACAUUUGACUCCGAUUUUACGCUUCAGCGCCCGUGAAAUCCAUCCCCGCAGGAAUUAUGUUGUUGGGUUAGCUGUUCAAACCAGACACUGCUGGCGCACUGCUGUAUUGUACCUAUUUUCACAGGUUGUUUGAGGAGACUGGUGACAAACUGGACCUUUUUAACACCAUAAAGUCCUGACAGAUGGAGAACUAGUGACCAUACUUCACUGUGAAUCACAAAACAUCUGACACUGGUCAUCUAGAAUCUGAGGGGAUCUCCAAAGCUGCCUCCAGAUGCACCCUUCCCUGAAGAAACCCCAGCCACUAAAAACUGAUUGAAGAUCUGCAGGAGCCUGCCACGCACACUGAGGGAUCUGAGUCUUCUACAGAAACAACAGUCAGUGUUAGAGCCACGGAGGCAGAAAGAGUCCGACUGUCCCGAGCAGACACACGAUGAUGAACAUCCACAAGAAGAUCCGGUCUACAACCAUGGCCACGUACUUCCAGUCCUCUUUAACCUGACGAGACAGAGAAGGAGAGGGUCUUAAAACAGCUGGAUCAAAAUCAAACAGGACAAUAGAAAUUAAAAAAUGACUCACUGAGAAGUCUGCAUCCUCGGCUCUGAGAUGCUCUGCGAUGUAAGUCACCCCCUCAAGAGCUGACACCACCGCAGGAGACAGAACAGAGGAUGAUGGGGUCAGGACCGUACCCUGCUCUACAGGAGGGGUGUCCCAGUCCAAACUGAUGGUGGACUGUCCCUGUGGGAGGAUGGUGUAGCCAAGGCAUCGAGUGGACGGAGGUGAGAGUGAAGAGAUCCUCUUCCGGCCUGAUAUCUUCACCCCAAAUCUCUCCAACCCAUCUGUGUUUGGGAAGCUGUGAAGAUUGCAGUAUUGAAUUUCAUCCCUGGUGUUCAAGAAGUCGAGACGGUGGCUGCUGUUGCAAAGGUUGUCGUUGUCAUAACCAUGGAGAUCUAUGUCGGACUCCUGAGUGAUCCAUGUGGAGUUGAAGUGCGAGGGGACCGGGGUGUGGAGAGGGAGGAGUUUUUCAGCGAGGUGACGCCGCCUGAGGAGAAAAAGGAGCAGGGUUCCAAGAUUAAAAUAAGCCUCACCAAAGAUCCUAAACUCAAUUAACUGUGUAAUAACUGAUUAAACUUGUGUCUCAGUAUUCCUCCCCUCACCCACCUGUGGACAGGACGCUUCAUGCACAGCCAGUGUGGCACCGCCGACAGAAACAACCUCCUGACCCAUCGGGGCAUCCUGUGAGUCGCCGACGACCGGUGGUGGACGUUCAGCACGAACACGGUGAUGACGAUGGACAGCGUGACAAAUAUCAUGGUGAAGAGCAGAUACUCUCCGAUGAGCGGGAUGACCAGCGACGUGGACGGGAUGAUCUCUGUGAUGAGGAGCAGGAAGACGGUGAGCGACAGCAGCACAGAGAUGCACAGCGUGAUUUUCUCGCCGCAGUCUGACGGCAGGUAGAAGACGAGGACGGUGAGGCAGGAGAUGAGGAGGCAGGGGAUGAUGAGGUUGAUGGUGUAGAAGAGCGGGAGGCGGCGGAUGACGAAGUAGUAGGUGAUGUCGGGGUAGAUCUCACGGCAGCAGUCGUAUUUCUUGGUGUUGUAGGUGCCCACAGCGUUGACGAUCGCCCACUCACCGCUCUCCCAGUAAUCCUACAAAUCACAAAAAGAAGCAGUCCUUUACUUCGCCCCAAACUAAAACCUAGUGACAGUUAAUGGAUGGUCACCAGAGGAUGAAUCCUGCAAAGCUUCAAGCAACUCUUUGACAGGUUUUGGAAAAACACCCAUGAAAUGUAUGGCUGAUAUUCAUGAUCAUAAGAAGAUAAGCCCUGCAGAAUUUUUCUCCUACUUCAAACAAUUUAAAGAUUUUUGAUUCUGAGGGUAAUUUUGGAUGCAUAACAUUUAUUCAUGCAAGUAAGAAGUAUCAUGUCCAUUUACUCUUUAUCCAGUGCAAUCAUCUGUGUCCAGUACUUCAGUUUAAGAGACACAGACUCACCUUCAGGUCCACCGUGUUCUCAAAGGGCUCCAGGUCGAUCUUGGCACGGUCGUACGUCCAGGAGCCGAACUUCAUCUUGCAGCUCUGCUGGUCGAAGGGAAAGAAGGUGACAUCGAUGGAGCAGGAGGACUUGUAGAUGGCCGGGGGAACCCAGCGGACUCGACCCGUGUGGAACAGAGCACAAUGUCGGGCACCCAGAUGAGCUCAGAAGGAACUCUGAUGGACGUCACGUUGUCGAAGUCUGAGGGAGUCCACUGCAGCUUAUAAUCUGUCCAUUCCUGCAAACACAGGCGUGGUUUAAAGCCAGCUUUGUCACACAAACAUGUACUUUACUACACUUUUAGGUCUGUCAGUCUGUUCAUGUUACCUACCUGUUUAAGCCAAACGUUGGUCGUCAUCAUCUGAUUCUUUUCGUCCUGUUUGGAGGCAAAGAAAGACACAAACAGCCCUGAGACAGUGUGCACUGGAUGCAGAGAUUGAUGUCGCAUGUUAACAAGGUAAAAAGUGUUGAUGGGCUUUGAAAACCUCAGAUAUCCUGAAUGUUCUUUUUCUGGAUUUAGACAAAAGUAAAAUGUGUGUUUGUGUUCUGACCACGUCUAUGAGUUGAGCGAUGGAGAGGCCAAACUUGACGAUGACCACGUCGGUGACGUUCCUCGCCGGACGUGUCCACUUGCUGUAACCUCCAAACAGUCUCCUGAAGAGGUCGUCCUCGGUGUGAAGACGAGUCCAGUCUUCAGAGAGAGCUGAGACAGACACAGAGAGGUUUUAGUUUUUAAAGCAUCCUUGCUUCACAGGUGUCUCUCUUUCCUUCUUCCCUUCUUUCUGCUUGAGUCAUUGCACCAGAUAAAGUCAGAGAAUGACUGUGUCUUCUCUUUGGAAAAAAGCAAUUACCUGAACUUUAUUGUUCAUAAAAUGUCACAGAUUCUGAUCUACAGCUGAUUCUGUUUUAAUUUGAUGUUACACAGCAGAACUGUUGAAGAUAAUUGAGCAACACUUAGCCAAGUUUUCCCAGCAGUCAUCAGUCAUAAUUUCAUGCUUGAAAUAAACCUCUCUAAUCUCUGCUGCUCAA
Molecule: RNA transcript, 7514 nt
Organism: Notolabrus celidotus (New Zealand spotty)
Lineage: Eukaryota; Metazoa; Chordata; Actinopteri; Labriformes; Labridae
Gene name: inositol polyphosphate-4-phosphatase type I A-like
Exons: 29
Source: RefSeq, a predicted model, not a curated record